Molecule: ribosomal RNA, 253 nt
Filed under: uncultured bacterium
Lineage: Bacteria
Description: partial 16S ribosomal RNA
Rfam family: Bacterial small subunit ribosomal RNA
Source: RNAcentral
UACGUGGGGUGCAAACGUUGCUCGGAAUCAUUGGGCGUAAAGCGCACGUAGGCGGCUUUUUAAGUCGAAUGUGAAAGCCCUCGGCUUAACCGAGGAAGUGCAUCCGAAACUGAAUGGCUAGAGUCCCAUAGAGGGUCGCGGAAUUCCCGGUGUAGAGGUGAAAUUCGUAGAUAUCGGGAGGAACACCAGUGGCGAAGGCGGCGACCUGGGUGAAGACUGACGCUGAGGUGCGAAAGCGUGGGGAGCAAACAGG